Long non-coding RNA from Schistocerca cancellata (South American locust), 1576 nucleotides. RefSeq lists it as uncharacterized. The transcript is spliced from 3 exons. NCBI's taxonomy places the organism in Eukaryota, Metazoa, Arthropoda, Insecta, Orthoptera, Acrididae. The record is from RefSeq and is a predicted model, not a curated record.
ACCUACGUAUUAUUUAACUGUUCCAUAUGCCUGAAUGUGUGAAACAACCAACUGGAGAUCUCAUCAACCCUACACUGUGUGUCAAGAGUUGGCUGACUUUACAGUGUGACCCUGGAGUACUACCUCUUUCCUUCAGAGUACAGCUUUUUGGUGCAACUAGAGUCUGCUGCAGCUGUUGGUUAACCAGCAAAUCUGACUGCCAUAUUAAUGACACAGGAUGUGGAAUUGGUAUAGCCAAUGGUUGUCUUUGUUUGAGGACCAGACUGUGGUAAACGCCACUUGAAGAAAACAAGGAUUCAUUUGGAAGAGAAGUAAUCGCUGAAGUACCACAACAUGGCAUUAAUGACUUCUAUAACCUGUACAUGGUGGUGAAGGGGGUAACACUUUGUGAGUGAUAUAGAGCAAAAGACCAAAGGAACAGAAUGGCAAAGGAAUGUACUGGUUUCCAAGCAUACCAAGGGUGAUCAAGCGACAGACACUACAGAUGUACCAUCACAUGCUGUAUUACACAGUUAUCAGAAGAUGCAGACGUUUUGAUCUACUAGGAGCUCCUACUGAAAGUACAACUCAAAGACUUACGGGCCACAGGCAAAAUGGGUGAGAUAUGUCUUGAUAUGCAAGAAGUUUAGGACUCAGGAACACACCAGUGACUCCUAUAAACAAGAAAAAAGAAAAAGAAAAAAAAGAUAUCCUCAUUUGCAACUGAAUCUCUGAAUCUGAAACGUGAUCCUCAAAAUGCAACAUGUUUCUCCCCUUGGAGAAACGUCGAUCCCCGUAGUUAUAGAGAUUCUCCAGUGGAGUGUAAUACAGACAUUAUGGUCCAUGCAAUGUCUUGACCACUUAGCAAACUUCUUAGCGAACUCCUUUUACUGACACUGAGAGAAAGUGUCAUCCAAAAAAUUUAAUAUCCAUUUGGAUGUGUACAAAAUAUCUGUGUUCUAAAGGGUGGCAACUAAACAUUAAUGUGGCUAUUUGUUUCAUUUCCCAUUUCAUGAUACAUAAAAAUAUUUUGGUCUUGGACUAGGACAUUAGCAUGUCACAGGUGGAGUCAAUCAGGCCAUACAGAUAUUUAGAAGCAACAAUGCUUUAGAUAUGACAAUAAUGCAAUUGUAGAUAAAUGAAAUGACAUCUUUCGACUCAUUCUAUGCAUAUUGGGAUCUGCAAUCUGUCUCCAUAAGUUUUGUUUAGAUACUUGAGAACUCAUAGUGGUAUUCACCUCAAGAGUACAGAACCUAUGACAGAACAAACUAACAGGGAAUGCGAAGGACACAAGAAAAGCGACAUAAAAUAUCUCUAGUGUGUUUACCUCAGUGCAGAAUGUAGAAAAAUAUCGAUAAACUUCAAGUCGCAGUUAAAGAAAAGUGAUACAAAAGCUCUCUAUAUGACCCACUAACAAAAUAGCAGAAACAGUAUUCAGAAUAUAAUCUGUUCAUUUUAUACAUUGCCUACAUCAAUAAGCUUAUAGAAUCCUGGAAGACAGAAUUAGAUAAGUAACUGUAUGUUCAGACUUAAAUUACAAAUAAUUCGUCCCAUAUUCCAUUUAUGACUGUAUGUAACAUAUGAAGACAUUGAGCAU